UACGUAGGUGGCAAGCGUUGUCCGGAAUUAUUGGGCGUAAAGCGCGCGCAGGCGGUCCUUUAAGUCUGAUGUGAAAGCCCACGGCUCAACCGUGGAGGGUCAUUGGAAACUGGGGGACUUGAGUACAGAAGAGAAGAGUGGAAUUCCACGUGUAGCGGUGAAAUGCGUAGAGAUGUGGAGGAACACCAGUGGCGAAGGCGGCUGACUGGUCCGGUUCUGACGCUGAGGCGCGAAAGCGUGGGGAGCAAACAGG
RNAcentral lists this ribosomal RNA (253 nucleotides) under uncultured bacterium. RNAcentral's name for it is "partial 16S ribosomal RNA". It matches the Rfam family "Bacterial small subunit ribosomal RNA", at positions 524 to 776 of the family's 1533-position model. The record is from RNAcentral.